Molecule: ribosomal RNA, 644 nt
Filed under: Pseudomonas cedrina
Lineage: Bacteria; Pseudomonadati; Pseudomonadota; Gammaproteobacteria; Pseudomonadales; Pseudomonadaceae
Description: bacterial SSU rRNA
Rfam family: Bacterial small subunit ribosomal RNA
Source: RNAcentral
GCAGUCGAGCGGUAGAGAGAAGCUUGCUUCUCUUGAGAGCGGCGGACGGGUGAGUAAUGCCUAGGAAUCUGCCUGGUAGUGGGGGAUAACGUUCGGAAACGGACGCUAAUACCGCAUACGUCCUACGGGAGAAAGCAGGGGACCUUCGGGCCUUGCGCUAUCAGAUGAGCCUAGGUCGGAUUAGCUAGUUGGUGGGGUAAUGGCUCACCAAGGCGACGAUCCGUAACUGGUCUGAGAGGAUGAUCAGUCACACUGGAACUGAGACACGGUCCAGACUCCUACGGGAGGCAGCAGUGGGGAAUAUUGGACAAUGGGCGAAAGCCUGAUCCAGCCAUGCCGCGUGUGUGAAGAAGGUCUUCGGAUUGUAAAGCACUUUAAGUUGGGAGGAAGGGUUGUAGAUUAAUACUCUGCAAUUUUGACGUUACCGACAGAAUAAGCACCGGCUAACUCUGUGCCAGCAGCCGCGGUAAUACAGAGGGUGCAAGCGUUAAUCGGAAUUACUGGGCGUAAAGCGCGCGUAGGUGGUUUGUUAAGUUGGAUGUGAAAUCCCCGGGCUCAACCUGGGAACUGCAUUCAAAACUGACUGACUAGAGUAUGGUAGAGGGUGGUGGAAUUUCCUGUGUAGCGGUGAAAUGCGUAGAUAU